RNAcentral lists this ribosomal RNA (492 nucleotides) under uncultured bacterium. RNAcentral's name for it is "partial 16S ribosomal RNA". It matches the Rfam family "Bacterial small subunit ribosomal RNA", at positions 29 to 507 of the family's 1533-position model. The record is from RNAcentral.
AGUGAACGCUGGCGGUAGGCCUAACACAUGCAAGUCGAACGGCAGCACAGUAAGAGCUUGCUCUUACGGGUGGCGAGUGGCGGACGGGUGAGGAAUACAUCGGAAUCUACUUUUUCGUGGGGGAUAACGUAGGGAAACUUACGCUAAUACCGCAUACGACCUACGGGUGAAAGCAGGGGAUCUUCGGACCUUGCGCGAUUGAAUGAGCCGAUGUCGGAUUAGCUAGUUGGCGGGGUAAAGGCCCACCAAGGCGACGAUCCGUAGCUGGUCUGAGAGGAUGAUCAGCCACACUGGAAGUGAGACACGGUCCAGAGUCCUACGGGAGGCAGCAGUGGGGAAUAUUGGACAAUGGGCGCAAGCCUGAUCCAGCCAUACCGCGUGGGUGAAGAAGGCCUUCGGGUUGUAAAGCCCUUUUGUUGGGAAAGAAAAGCAGCAGGUUAAUACCCCGCUGUUCUGACGGUACCCAAAGAAUAAGCACCGGCUAACUUCGUG